ACCUUCCAGAUUCCUUCUUCCUCAGAUCUAAAUAUUGAUCUGAGCGGCUAACAAGGAAGAAGGGUAAUGUGGAAAUGGAUUUAGUCUUUAGUGACAUACACGCUCAUUUCAAACAAAU
This 118-nucleotide small nucleolar RNA is filed under the name Echinops telfairi (small Madagascar hedgehog). RNAcentral describes it as "Small nucleolar RNA SNORA61 (ENSETEG00000025957.1)". The record is from RNAcentral. Lineage: Eukaryota; Metazoa; Chordata; Mammalia; Afrosoricida; Tenrecidae.